RNAcentral lists this ribosomal RNA (281 nucleotides) under uncultured bacterium. RNAcentral describes it as "partial 16S ribosomal RNA". It matches the Rfam family "Bacterial small subunit ribosomal RNA", at positions 335 to 600 of the family's 1533-position model. The record is from RNAcentral.
ACUCCUACGGGAGGCAGCAGUGGGAAUAUUGCACAAUGGGGAAGCCAUCGAUGCAGCCAUGCCGCGCUGUGUGAAGAAGGCCAAUUCGGGCUUGGUUAAAGACACAUUUUCAGUAGGGAGGAAGGUAGUGUAGUUAACACCUGCAUUAUUUGACGUUACCUACAGAAGAAGCACCGGCUAACUACGUGCCAGCAGCCGCGGUAAUACGUAGGGUGCAAGCGUUAAUCGGAAUUACUGGGCGUAAAGCGUGCGCAGGCGGUUUGCUAAGACCGAUGUGAAAU